Molecule: ribosomal RNA, 445 nt
Filed under: uncultured bacterium
Lineage: Bacteria
Description: partial 16S ribosomal RNA
Rfam family: Bacterial small subunit ribosomal RNA
Source: RNAcentral
GUGAGGAAUAUUGGACAAUGGGCGCAAGCCUGAUCCAGCCAUGCCGCGUGCAGGAAGACGCAUCUAUGGUGUGUAAACUGCUUUUGUACGGGAAGAAACACUCCCUCGUGAGGGAGCUUGACGGUACCGUAAGAAUAAGGAUCGGCUAACUCCGUGCCAGCAGCCGCGGUAAUACGGAGGAUCCAAGCGUUAUCCGGAAUCAUUGGGUUUAAAGGGUCCGUAGGCGGUUUAAUAAGUCAGUGGUGAAAGCCCAUCGCUCAACGAUGGAACGGCCAUUGAUACUGUUAGACUUGAAUUACAAGGAAGUAACUAGAAUAGGUAGUGUAGCGGUGAAAUGCUUAGAUAUUACAUGGAAUACCAAUUGCGAAGGCAGGUUACUACUUGUGGAUUGACGCUGAUGGACGAAAGCGUGGGGAGCGAACAGGAUUAGAAACCCCAGUAGUCC